UACGAAGGGUGCAAACGUUGCUCGGAAUUAUUGGGCGUAAAGCGCACGUAGGCGGCUAUCUAAGUCGGAUGUGAAAUCCCUCGGCUUAACCAAGGAAGUGCAUCCGAAACUGCUGAGCUUGAGUACGAAAGAGGAUCGCGGAAUUCCCGGUGUAGAGGUGAAAUUCGUAGAUAUCGGGAGGAACACCAGUGGCGAAGGCGGCGAUCUGGGUCGAUACUGACGCUGAGGUGCGAAAGCGUGGGUAGCAAACAGG
This 253-nucleotide ribosomal RNA is filed under the name uncultured bacterium. Its description in RNAcentral is "partial 16S ribosomal RNA". It matches the Rfam family "Bacterial small subunit ribosomal RNA", at positions 524 to 776 of the family's 1533-position model. The record is from RNAcentral.